UACGUAGGGUGCAAGCGUUGUCCGGAAUUAUUGGGCGUAAAGAGCUCGUAGGCGGUUUGUCGCGUCUGCUGUGAAAACUCGGGGCUUAACCCCGGGCCUGCAGUGGGUACGGGCAGACUAGAGUGCGGUAGGGGAGACUGGAAUUCCUGGUGUAGCGGUGAAAUGCGCAGAUAUCAGGAGGAACACUGGUGGCGAAGGCGGGUCUCUGGGCCGUAACUGACGCUGAGGAGCGAAAGCGUGGGUAGCAAACAGG
This 253-nucleotide ribosomal RNA is filed under the name uncultured bacterium. RNAcentral describes it as "partial 16S ribosomal RNA". It matches the Rfam family "Bacterial small subunit ribosomal RNA", at positions 524 to 776 of the family's 1533-position model. The record is from RNAcentral.